Schistosoma haematobium is the source of this 45-nucleotide non-coding RNA. The record is from Rfam. Lineage: Eukaryota; Metazoa; Platyhelminthes; Trematoda; Strigeidida; Schistosomatidae.
AUCCAUCUGACGAAUCCAAAAUAGUACGGAACAUGUGUCCUGGAU